AACGAACGCUGGCGGCAGGCCUAACACAUGCAAGUCGAGCGCGCCCUUCGGGGUGAGCGGCGGACGGGUGAGUAACGCGUGGGAACGUGCCCUUUUCUACGGAAUAGCCUCGGGAAACUGAGAGUAAUACCGCAUACGCCCUUUGGGGGAAAGAUUUAUCGGAAAAGGAUCGGCCCGCGUUGGAUUAGGUAGUUGGUGGGGUAAUGGCCUACCAAGCCGACGAUCCAUAGCUGGUUUGAGAGGAUGAUCAGCCACACUGGGACUGAGACACGGCCCAGACUCCUACGGGAGGCAGCAGUGGGGAAUCUUAGACAAUGGGGGCAACCCUGAUCGAGCCAUGCCGCGUGAGUGAUGAAGGCCUUAGGGUUGUAAAGCUCUUUCAGCUGGGAAGAUAAUGACGGUACCAGCAGAAGAAGCCCCGGCUAACUCCGUG
Molecule: ribosomal RNA, 433 nt
Filed under: uncultured bacterium
Lineage: Bacteria
Description: partial 16S ribosomal RNA
Rfam family: Bacterial small subunit ribosomal RNA
Source: RNAcentral